UACGUAGGGUGCAAGCGUUGUCCGGAAUUAUUGGGCGUAAAGAGCUCGUAGGCGGUUUGUCGCGUCUGCCGUGAAAGUCCGGGGCUCAACUCCGGAUCUGCGGUGGGUACGGGCAGACUAGAGUGAUGUAGGGGAGACUGGAAUUCCUGGUGUAGCGGUGAAAUGCGCAGAUAUCGGGAGGAACACCAAUGGCGAAGGCAGCUCGCUGGGACGGUACUGACGCUGAGGCGCGAAAGCGUGGGGAGCAAACAGG
Molecule: ribosomal RNA, 253 nt
Filed under: uncultured bacterium
Lineage: Bacteria
Description: partial 16S ribosomal RNA
Rfam family: Bacterial small subunit ribosomal RNA
Source: RNAcentral